ACUAGGCAUAGUGUUGCAUGCCUGUAAUCCUAGUGGCUUGGAAGUCUGAGGCAGGAGGAUGUGAGUUCAAAGCCAGCCUCAG
RNAcentral lists this small RNA (82 nucleotides) under Marmota monax (woodchuck). The record is from RNAcentral. Lineage: Eukaryota; Metazoa; Chordata; Mammalia; Rodentia; Sciuridae.